Molecule: ribosomal RNA, 253 nt
Filed under: uncultured bacterium
Lineage: Bacteria
Description: partial 16S ribosomal RNA
Rfam family: Bacterial small subunit ribosomal RNA
Source: RNAcentral
UACGGAGGGAGCUAGCGUUGUUCGGAAUUACUGGGCGUAAAGCGCACGUAGGCGGCUUUGUAAGUUAGAGGUGAAAGCCCGGGGCUCAACUCCGGAACUGCCUUUAAGACUGCAUCGCUUGAAUCCAGGAGAGGUGAGUGGAAUUCCGAGUGUAGAGGUGAAAUUCGUAGAUAUUCGGAAGAACACCAGUGGCGAAGGCGGCUCACUGGACUGGUAUUGACGCUGAGAUGCGAAAGCGUGGGGAGCAAACAGG